Molecule: ribosomal RNA, 206 nt
Filed under: uncultured bacterium
Lineage: Bacteria
Description: partial 16S ribosomal RNA
Rfam family: Bacterial small subunit ribosomal RNA
Source: RNAcentral
CUCAGUUCGGAUUGGAGUCUGCAACCCGACUCCAUGAAGCUGGAUUCGCUAGUAAUCGCGCAUCAGCCACGGCGCGGUGAAUACGUUCCCGGGCCUUGUACACACCGCCCGUCAAGCCAUGGAAGCCGGGGGUGCCUGAAGUGCGCUGCCGCAAGGAGCGCCCUAGGGUAAAACCGGUGACUGGGGCUAAGUCGUAACAAGGUAAC